CAGCUCCAAUAGCGUAUAUUAAAGUUGUUGCAGUUAAAAAGCUCGUAGUUGAAUUUCUGCGUAUGCCUAGUUCUGGCUUUGGUCAAGCUAGUGUGUGCGCAUCCGCUUGCAAAUCCGGACCGGCGUUUACUCGUCGACCGGGGGAGUAGGCCCUUUACCUUGAAAAAAUUAGAGUGUUUCAGGCAGGCAAUGGCUCGAAUACAUUAGCAUGGAAUAAUAGAAUAGGACUUUUGUCUAUUUGGUUGGUUAUUAGACAUGAGUAAUGAUUAAAAGGGACAGUUGGGGGCAUUAGUAUUUAAUAGUCAGAGGUAAAAUUCUU
Molecule: ribosomal RNA, 319 nt
Filed under: Aplanochytrium stocchinoi
Lineage: Eukaryota; Bigyra; Thraustochytrida; Thraustochytriidae
Description: partial Eukaryotic small subunit ribosomal RNA
Rfam family: Eukaryotic small subunit ribosomal RNA
Source: RNAcentral